UUUGCCAGAUUUAUCUAACUAAUUUUCUCUUUCUAAGGCUCUAUUGAAACAUAUAAUAAAGGGUUCACAGAAAAGGAUCAGUGAAAAAGCCCUCUAAGUGUGAUAUGCUGUCAGCUGUAACAUGAACAGUUUGAUUGAAGAGAAGGUUCAGAAUUCAGUGAAAUGUCUACAGCAGGAUAAAAUCUUACGGAACUUAAAAAGAUUCAAGUGUAUGAGAAGAAUUGGUCUAGGGGUGACAGAGCAAGUAUUUGGCAUUCAAGGGAAUUUUGGAAAGUAGAGAAAACUGGCUAGCGAUCCGUCAAGAGUCUUGGGUGGAUGUUCUGUACCUUUUAGGAAAAUCUAUUAAAAAGUCCUCAAGAGGAUCCUCUUUACUCCUAUUUCCAAGGGAAAUCACACAUAGGUCAUAGAUAACUUGACAGACAAGAUGAAGGGUUCUUAUACCAUGUAAAAAACUUAAGAAGCCCCAGCUGUUGUAAAGACUAUAGAGCAGUCAAGUGUGACAUUUUGAAAGCACAGAAAUAGAAUCAUGGUGACCUUGGGCACCUUAUUACUAACUUUCAGUGUGACAAAAUCAGUGUCAUUGCAUUUAAAUUUCUUCAUCCUUAAAUUUGGUUUACUCUGAUCAUGCUACUUAAUGCAUUGGGUUAUUCUGAGGAACAAGUUGCAUUUAAUUUACAUAACUGUAUUUUUAAAGUAUAGUGAUUUUUCAUUUAUAUAUUUUUUACUGAUAAUAGUUUUUAUUGACAAUGCAUUAAAAAAAAGGCUAUGAGCUAUGAUGGGUAAGGAGAGUGAAAAGACAAGAGGGUCAAACAAAGAAUAAAGGCACAGACAAUAUGACAUGUUCAGGAAUUGUCAUGAAUGAAACACAAUAAGACUAAUGAGAGAGAAGACUUUGAAAUGUAGAACAUCGGUUGAGUGGCUUUGAAUGCUAGGCAGGGUUGGUCACAUUUUACAACAUGUAAAGGAGUUCUAGAUCUAUUAAUGGCAUCACAUGCAAAAGUAAAUCUUUCAUGGACCCUCCAGUAAAAGUAAAAUAAGAAUUGAAACAUGUUUUAUUUAUUUUUAUUUACUUGAGAAAUGUAUCUUUUGUGUAUUAUUUUGAUAUUAUCGGCUUACAAUUCAGAAGACUUUAUCUAAUUGUGAUAAUGAACUUUGACUAAAUGCUUCCAUGUCUUACAAUUCCGUAUGAUUAUUUUCAUUCAUUGGUGAUAAGGCUAGCUAGUGGUUGGAGUGCAAUCUGUUUCCAUUGAGCAAAGCAAAGCUGGUUGAUCUUUAAUGUAAAUAAACCUAUAAGUUUACCUCAUUAGUCACAUAUUUAAGCUAGAUAAUCUGGAAUAUUUAUCUAAAAUCAUCACCCUGUAGUCUACACUGUAGAGUGAAUACGGUACAAUCCACUUUGUAAGAUUAUUUAAUGCAAUAUAUUCCCAUGUCAAAAUAGUUAAUUCUUAAGAUUAUUAUACAUUUUAUUUUUAUGUAAUUUUAUCAUCCAAAGCACUUGGAAAACCUGGAUCACGUGGAAUACACCUUGAAAGAUCUAAAUAUCUUUUGAAAAAGAAAAAUCUUAUUUAGCGAACUUAAGAACCAUGUCAGCAAAUAUCAAGUGUAAACAUCCCUAGAAAUUACGUUUUCUCUUUCAAAGUCAAUAUGGUUAGCUGCAGAUGAGCUAUGGAUGUGGCAAAUACUUGAUAAGUGCACUUAUAUUUCUGACAAAUGUUCUAGGUUAAGUGAUGGGUCAUGUAACUAAACACAUCACCUGAUGAGUGGGAGCUAUUAUAGAGUAAAAAUUGGAAAUAAGUAGAAUAUAGUAAUGGUAGCAUUGAUGACACCUGGAAACUUAACAUUAAUAUUUAUUAAUUUUUGCUAACUUACUGAAAGCACAGUAAAAACUAGCUGUCAUUUAUUGAUUAGCUAAUAUAUCCCUGGCAAUGAACUAGGAUCUUUACCUACAAAUAAGGCAAAUGGCGGAGGAAGGGGCCAAUUCCACAUAUUACAGACCAGCAGUCUCAGGAAGGUGAAAUAUUGUCAGAGCCUCACCUAGCCCGUGAGUGGAGAGUCAAAACUUACAUACAAAACACGACAAAUCCAAACUCAAAACUCUUAGCAUUUUGACAUUUUCUUUCAGAGCUAAACAGGCAACAUUCAAACUACUAAAAUGAGUAAAUGCAAAAGUGCUUGUAUUUAUUAGAUACUUAGUAGUACAUAAAUAACCUAUAACAAUUGUCUAUCGGUGUAUAUAUAGAAACACAAUAAUGACACAUUUUUUUCCGGAAAACUGGCACCCCAAAUCAGGUGGUUUUGGCCUAAGGAAAUGAGCCAGAAGCCACAUGCAUCUUUUCAUCGGAUCACCAGCAGGUUGCUUCUGAGGACACCUCCGGGCAGGUUGGACACUGUGCGGACCCUCACAGCCUGGGGCAACUGGCUGGUGCUCUUGCCGCGAAGUGAGCCAACACAAACCCAGAAUUACAAACUUCAUCACACGCAAGUGGUCCAGGCAGCAGCUGUUACAAAUAGCACAGCUAUGAACAGGUGUAAUGGGAAGGACUGAUUGGAUCAUGGUGUGGUGAAUGAAAACUGUGAUUUUCUCGAAUGGAUACUCAUCACAGGUGGAGAGACUUCUUCCACGUCUCCACCUAGCUUUUCAAGGAUGGAGCCUACUGGAGCUCUAGGGUUCUGGAUCCGGAUAUCAGGGGUUCCGGGACAUGCUACCUUCCAGAAAUGACAGAGACAUUACAAGGAUUUCUUAGCUAAUGACAACUCUGACCUAAGUGCAGUGAAAAGCACCAGAAUGAUAUUUGAAGCUGAUACAACUGCUAGAGAAAAAGCCAAAAGAAAAUACAAGAUAUUUCGCCCCUGAAGAAAAUGCAAGUCCUGGGAUUAUAAACUCUGCUGAUGGUAGGAGGUGAAUUUAGUUUUAAUUUUAGUUUAGUGCAGUUUAGUUUUAAAUUUAUUCGUGAUGACCCUAUUUACUGUCCCGAAGUCAAUGAGUAACUUAUUCACAGAACCUUUUUGCAACGUGGGUAUGAAUUUUAUUUUGGGGUGUAUUAAAAAUGGAGGCAGAGAAGCUAUAAAAAAUAGUAAAAAUCCUAUUAAAAGCAUUUUUCUUUUAAUGAAGAUUGCCUUAAUGUUGGGAUCUUAAUGGGAUGAAGAUAAUAUGUUACCAUAUGGUCUGAAUUGAGUCAUUUUUUUAAUCAGCUAUUUAUUUUG
Acinonyx jubatus (cheetah) is the source of this 3204-nucleotide long non-coding RNA. RefSeq lists it as uncharacterized. NCBI's taxonomy places the organism in Eukaryota, Metazoa, Chordata, Mammalia, Carnivora, Felidae. The transcript has 5 exons. The record is from RefSeq and is a predicted model, not a curated record.